UGCGCCGUCUGUUGUUUUCACGUAAAUCUCGCGAAAUGUUAUCGUUGUCCCCGCGUGUGUGACAAUCGGCAUUCGUGUGUAAUAUACGAUAUUUAUUAUAUUCUCGUGGUCGCGUGUGUCGGUGAUUACAGUGUGAGCAACUGGAGCAUCGUAAAAUUUUUAAAGGAUCUCUCUUGCUUGUGUGAUCAACGACGACCAACGAUGACAUACUACUGCAGUUUCCAGAGGAUGCCUGUCCUAGAAGAGCCAGUUCGGGCCAAGCAGGGUUGGCUCGACGAUUCAGCGGUAGCCGAGUAUGGCCAAUCCUGACUUCCAUUGUUGUGG
Long non-coding RNA from Dinoponera quadriceps, 324 nucleotides. RefSeq lists it as uncharacterized. The record is from RefSeq and is a predicted model, not a curated record. The transcript is spliced from 3 exons. Lineage: Eukaryota; Metazoa; Arthropoda; Insecta; Hymenoptera; Formicidae.